GAUCCUGGCUCAGGAUGAACGCUGGCGGCGUGCCUAAUACAUGCAAGUAGAACGCUGAAGGAGGAGCUUGCUCUUCUGGAUGAGUUGCGAACGGGUGAGUAACGCGUAGGUAACCUGCCUGGUAGCGGGGGAUAACUAUUGGAAACGAUAGCUAAUACCGCAUAACAGUAGAUGUUGCAUGACAUUUGCUUGAAAGGGGCAAUUGCUCCACUACCAGAUGG
RNAcentral lists this ribosomal RNA (221 nucleotides) under uncultured bacterium. RNAcentral describes it as "partial 16S ribosomal RNA". It matches the Rfam family "Bacterial small subunit ribosomal RNA", at positions 15 to 228 of the family's 1533-position model. The record is from RNAcentral.